RNAcentral lists this ribosomal RNA (265 nucleotides) under uncultured bacterium. RNAcentral describes it as "partial 16S ribosomal RNA". It matches the Rfam family "Bacterial small subunit ribosomal RNA", at positions 793 to 1055 of the family's 1533-position model. The record is from RNAcentral.
GUCCACGCCGUAAACGAUGGGUGCUAGAUGUCACGGGCUUUGACCCCUGUGGCGUCGUAGCCAACGCGUUAAGCACCCCGCCUGGGGAGUACGGUCGCAAGACUAAAACUCAAAGGAAUUGACGGGGCCCGCACAAGCGGUGGAGCAUGUGGUUUAAUUCGACGCAACGCGAAGAACCUUACCUGGGCUAGAAAACGCAGGAACCCUACCGAAAGGUGGGGGUGCUCUUCGGAGAAUCUGUGGUUAGGUGCUGCAUGGCUGUCGU